Dendronephthya gigantea is the source of this 2065-nucleotide long non-coding RNA. RefSeq lists it as uncharacterized. The transcript is spliced from 4 exons. The record is from RefSeq and is a predicted model, not a curated record. NCBI's taxonomy places the organism in Eukaryota, Metazoa, Cnidaria, Anthozoa, Malacalcyonacea, Nephtheidae.
AUACCAUCAGAGUGUUUGGUGUAUUCUUGUUCGCUAGGUUUGUGUACAUUUCUUACCGUCUAUUUGGUUUGGUUCUGACUUAAACUCGCUGAAUUAUGGCGACGUAGUUGGAUUGUCGGUUCCAAUAGUUGAUAAAGAGAAAGUUUUCCAAUGGCGGAUCCUGUCGAUGAAAUUGGUAAAGCUGUUCAUGGCAAUGCCCGUGAAGGACUCUGUGCUACAAUUUCUGGGCCUGGCAGAUUAUAUAAGAUAAAAAUUGACGCCGAUAAAGCUGUUGUUAAAGACAUAUUACUCGCAACAGUCUCACUAGGAGCAAUAUAUGCAGGUUAUAAAUUAAUUGCACGAAAAAUGGACGGGGCUGUUGAUAAAGGUCUUGGCGGUGAAAGAGAUGACCAAGAUGUUCGGGACAUCAAACCGAAGUGUCUACUCGUCAUCCUGCAUUGUUUUACGGACAAAAGAUUUCUGGAGGUUUUAGAAGAUUUUAAAUCCGGAGGAAUGAAAGAACGCUUGAGGAGGGAAUUUUUUAAUGUUGGAAUUGAAACCGAGGGAUUGACGGUUGAAAUUGAGAAUAUCGAAGAAGUAGAAAAAAGAGCAGCGGAUAUAAAAAAGAGUAACAUUGGAAAGGAUGAUGGAAGUCAUGGACAAUAAGACAAUGCAAGUGACUUGAAUUUUGAAAAGUCAGAAUGUUCCAGUGAUUCACGAAGAGAAUUUGAUGAAAAAAAUGGUAAGUAUAAACAAAAUUAAUUCGUACCCAGGCGGCAGCAGCAGUACUACAGAGAUCGGUGGCGAAGAAAGCGUGAGCGCGCGGGGGUGUUUCUGGCAAAUUGCGUCGAUUUCUGCCGAAUGUGGUUUUAAAGUACUUUUUUCUGUACUUUGAUGAAAAUCUUUAACAACUAUGAACGCGCCGGAAAAAAGUCACCAUAUGAAGGUAUUUAAUGCUUCCGUUUUGUUUUUCUUUAUAUUAAUACGGCUACUUUUGAAUAUCCCAUAAGCCAAUUAUCGUGUAUUGGCUUUGCGCAAUGUCACAGAUAUCCUCUGUUCUGUAAUUUCAAUUAAAUCAAAUAAUGUUUUCCUGGUUGGGAAAACGUACGCUAAAAUGUAAUAAGGGAUUCUAAAACGACAAAAACGGACAUUCGUCUAUUGUAUAUUUUUGUGUACUAUUUUGCAUAUUUAUAAAAUACCAGCCAAAGGCAGCAGUUUUUAAUCCUGAAUGAUGUCCACAUCUUUUCUGUUAAAUGUAUGAAUAUGUUCUGCCAUAGGCGAAUUUAGUUCUGAUGAUGCAUCCUUUAAACAACUUUUUAAGAGUAAGAGUCAACAGCAUUUAAGUAUAUGUUUAUAUUUUAUAUGACUCUUUAUGAUUAAGCUUAAGCAAUGCUAACAUAUAUUUUAUAAGCACUCAUGAUACAGCUGAGUGUGAGGUUUAUUAGGAGACAUCAAGUAGAUCAGUCAGUAAUUCGAAGAAGCUUGGUUUUGAAAAUCAUCAAUUGACACCAGAGGGAGUUGAGCUUCAACGAAUAUUUAAGAAAUUUGCAGUCAGAGAAGAAAUGAAAUGGCAUCCAAACGUGAUAAAUUUUGGAGUACUGGGAGAGUCCAAAUGAAAAUGCAGAACAAUUUAUGCUGAUAGAGGAUCAAAAAGCAUUCUUACCAGAAGCAUUAAGUAAUUAUUUACAAAAAUAAGCAAAAGGAAUGUUAUGAUUGGAGCUAAAGAUUAUGCAAUGUUGCAUGCUUGCUGAAAACACAUGUACUAUACUGGUUUCCUUACAAAAAAUAAUAAAAUAAUAAUAAAAGUGAGCAGACAUUCUUUGUGCCGUUAGCAAGGCACUGAAGUGUUUAUUUCUCCUGCAUUUCUCUAGUAAAUUAUGCGCGCACAUUCAUUCCAUAAGGCUAAGCAAAUAUUCGCGUUUGUGGCAUACUCUAUGAUGAUGAUCCACGCCUGUUUCUUCGAAGAAUUCCUUUUUGGGAUUAAUUCUUUGAAUUACUUUAAUUUUUAUGCCAGCAAAGAACUUUUGCCGAAAGAACCGAAUUAUGUACCUGAUUUUCAAAUUCUUCAAUUAUCUCCUUUUAUACA